This 216-nucleotide ribosomal RNA is filed under the name Glomeromycotina sp. RNAcentral's name for it is "partial small subunit ribosomal RNA". The stretch from base 40 to 216 matches the Rfam family "Eukaryotic small subunit ribosomal RNA", at positions 686 to 864 of the family's 1831-position model. The record is from RNAcentral. Lineage: Eukaryota; Fungi; Glomeromycota.
GGGUCAGUAGGUUGGUCGUGCCACCGGUACGUACUGGUCUCACUGAUUCCUCCUUCCUGAGGAACCGUAAUGCCAUUAAUUUGGUGUUGCGGGGAAACAGGACUGUUACUUUGAAAAAAUUAGAGUGUUUAAAGCAAGCUAGCGCUUGAAUACAUUAGCAUGGAAUAAUGAAAUAGGACGAUCGAUCCUAUUUUGUUGGUUUCUAGGAUUGACGUA